Molecule: long non-coding RNA, 3275 nt
Organism: Dermochelys coriacea (leatherback sea turtle)
Lineage: Eukaryota; Metazoa; Chordata; Testudines; Dermochelyidae
Exons: 2
Source: RefSeq, a predicted model, not a curated record
GCUCUUUGAAAAGUUGUUAGUAACUUUUUGUGAGGAAUUAAUUCUAAGGUCAUGGCACUGUGUUUAAAACCUUGAGCAUUAUGUGGGACUGCUUUAGAUCCUGAUUUUUCCCCUCCUCCCCCCGUACUUCUUGGGAAGAAAGUAAUAGAAUAAGUCACAUGACAGUGACUGGGGUUCAGAGGUGUUUAAUUCUUCCCUUUAUGAAAGAAUCCCUUCAUUCUGAGAUACCCAGCUCGUGGUUUCACAACAGGCUGAGAUGGUGUCAGAGAGACUUCCUAGAAGGAAAAUGUGACACUUCAUAUGUAUGUUUGCUUGCUGUCAAAGGUUUCAAACUGCUUGUUUGUGUCACAGCUAUUUCAGAGCCAUGGUAUCUGAAGUAUAGGCGCAAACCAGAAGGCUCCGCAGUGCACGUGUGUGAAUUUUUACUUCAAGAGAACUGUAGAAGACUUCAGUAAUAUUUUACAUAAGGCUUCCAUAUUAAAGCAUUCUAUAGCAUUUUCUAGAGUAUAUGCAUACAGAACUGCUGAAAUGCAGCUAGCUUUAGGGUGAAUGGGGGUAUCGAGGCAGACAACCAAUCCCCACCCAGUACUCUAUACAACAGUGAAAUAUAGGAUGGAAAAUGUUGCCCAAGAACAAUUAAUUAAACAAACCCCCUAUUCUUAAAGAAUGUGCUAUAGAAAACUCUGACGCUUGUAAUAGGCAGAAUCUCAGAUUACUAUAUACAGCCUGUCAAAAUUAUCAUGAAAACUUACAGGUUAAGGUACAAAAUCUGUUAUCCUUCCCUUUUCCACGAUGCUUGUUGGUGCAUUAAAAAAAAUGCUCCGUGAGCAGAAUUUCAUAAGAAUAGUUAGAGAUGUCAUCUAAAAAUUACACACUAAAAUAUAUAGCUUAAUUUAUUCUGUUCAGGUACCCAUAGCCACGUCAUGAACAACUUUAGUAUGUAAUAUGACUAGUAUGUCAGUUGUUUUUUUUCCUCUCUCUCUUGGGGAAAAAUUGUGUGCAUUUUUUUAAAAAAUACAUGAUAUGCUAUUUGUUAAUUUAAGCAAGGUCACAGAAGCGUUCCUUGAAUGUGAAACAGAAAACGCUGAGGUUUGAGUUAGUUCUUGGAUCCUGUUGGGAAUUUACGAACAUCAGAAGGAUGAGGGGCGUCUGAGGUUCAAUAGAGUUGAAUGGAGUUAAUUUAAACAUGAUGGUCAGACCACUAAAUAAUGUCUUCUGUCUUUCCCCAGUUGCACUUUUCAGUAUUCAUUUAUCUGUUUAGAUUUUAACCAGAUAUUUUCAGUUGGAAUUGUAGUAGCACUUGUCAUACAUUAGUCUGAAUAUUGGGUAGUAGAAGUUGCACAUCACAACUGCUUCUGAUUGAAAAUAUACAACCAAUUGGUGUAUGAGCCCACUCCCUUUGAAGACAGUGGCAAAACUAUCACUUCAAAUCCUACAGAAUUUUUAGAGGCUUUUAUCCUUCCCUUCAUUAUUCUUGUUCUGAUGCUUAGGCCUAGAGUUUCUAUUGGUAGUCCCUUUAACCAUUCAGUACUUGAAUCAACACAUAUCUAGAAAACAUGCCUUGGAACUCUAACAAAAUGGUUCCCAACCUGGUCCAUGGGCCACAAUGAAGAGCCAGGACACCCACAGAAGUAGCGAGAAAUAAGAGGAAGCCUGCCUAGCCCAAUUGCAAAAGGGGCCUUCAUUGGAAUAUGGCCCACAUGAUAAUAAAUAGCGGAGGCUAAUAAAAAGUAGUAUGAAAUUUUGAAAACUUGUGGACCCUGCACAGCAUAUUUUGAUGCUAUUAGAUAAUGGUAAAUAGUUUACUCUUCAGCAAAGUACCCAAGGAAACUAAAAAAAGAGAAUUCAAGCUUUAACUCUUAAAUAUAUAACAGUUAUAGCCAGAUACAGCUUGUCUCAUGCAAGUAGCCCCAUUGACUGCAAUGGAAAUACUCAGCAGGAUUUGGCAUUCAAGCCCUGCUCCUACAACAGGGUCUGUGGGGUGGACUUCAUUAACUUCACUGGUACUCCAGGCAGACUCAAUUUCAGGAUUGGGACCUUAAGUUGCUUAAAAAUAAAAAGCAUAUUACUGUGUUUUCUGUUGUGCCAAACAGUGAUUUGAUUACACGUAUUUCCUUCUGACUACUAAGUAUGUUUGGAAGGUGCAUUUUCAGUUUUAUUAUUAAAAUUGUAGUUUUUCAUAAUUUUGUACUAAAAUUGUAUAUAUUCUAAUAUUUACUAGAAUUUAAAAUAAAGAGCACAAUUAGUAUUGCAAAGCUGUUUAUGGUUGUGACCCUGCAAACCUUUAUUUUCACAAGUAGGCCUUAUUCUUACAAAAUGAAUAGGAAAUACUUGUCAGUAAGGAUUUGUGGGAUCAGGCCCUAGAUUAGUAAAAUUGUUUCAUAGUGAAUUCUAAAUGUGCUAAUCUGCACUAACUUUAAAAACAAAUCCUAAUAACAUUUUAUGAGGAGCUGUUUAGCUUUUAACUUGUAUGAACAAGGACAGUUCAGGAUACGAGUUGAAACUUUUCCACAGUUUAAGUUCUAUAUUUGGAAAACAUUAGCUUUAUGUUUGUUUUUAUUGUUAUGGAAUAUUUUAUAGAUCUGUUGGACAAUUUUUAACAUGCACUAUUUAUCGUACUCUUAAUACAGACAUCUGAUUCUGAGGAUUUUCUGUUCAGCGAUCAGUCAAAUAUUGGAUUGAAGAUGUUGGCAGGAGAUUAAUGAUCUCAGUUAAUAUUUAAAAUAAACUGUGAAGCAACUAACAGAAUAAUUUGAUUUUUGCAAAUGCAAUGUUUUGCUUCAGGUGACUUUUGCAUAAAAUUUUAUUUGUAUUUUAACAUACAGCCCUCCGUUCUGGAAAAGACAUUCUGACAUCGUUUCAUAGCAGAAUUUGAGCUACGUUACACAUGCUUUUGUUAUGGAUUUUUUUUCCUUGACAAAGGGAAUGUCACUGGCAAGUUUCCCAUCAGUUUAAGUUUCUGUGAAAAUACAUAGCCAACAGAUGUUCUGUUGCAGAAAAAACAAGUCCCUGCUGAGGCAUUUUUCACUGAGCAAUCUUAGCAUAUGUGCUUCUAGUUCCUGCUUUGUUAAUAAUGUGUAUUUCAAUGUAAAGAGCAUAUUUUGAAUGCAAAAGAUGAGACCUGAGUUAGUUGUAAAACAAGUUUUAUUGUGUAGUGAUGCUGGUUUUAGAAAACAAAGGUUAAUUCUGAAAUAACUUGACUAUAUCUAGUGUAGUUCAUGUUGUGGAGCUUUGUUUUGUAAGAUAUGAAUAAAACACUUUCUAAUGAUGUUCAA